RNAcentral lists this ribosomal RNA (468 nucleotides) under uncultured bacterium. RNAcentral describes it as "partial 16S ribosomal RNA". It matches the Rfam family "Bacterial small subunit ribosomal RNA", at positions 28 to 507 of the family's 1533-position model. The record is from RNAcentral.
GACGAACGCUGGCGGCGUGCUUAACACAUGCAAGUCGAACGGAAAGGCCCUGCUUUUGUGGGGUGCUCGAGUGGCGAACGGGUGAGUAACACGUGAGUAACCUGCCCUUGACUUUGGGAUAACUUCAGGAAACUGGGGCUAAUACCGGAUAGGAGCUCCUGCUGCAUGGUGGGGGUUGGAAAGUUUCGGCGGUUGGGGAUGGACUCGCGGCUUAUCAGCUUGUUGGUGGGGUAGUGGCUUACCAAGGCUUUGACGGGUAGCCGGCCUGAGAGGGUGACCGGCCACAUUGGGACUGAGAUACGGCCCAGACUCGUACGGGAGGCAGCAGUGGGAAAUAUUGCACAAUGGGCGGAGGCCUGAUGCAGCAACGCCGCGUGCGGGAUGACGGCCUUCGGGUUGUAAACCGCUUUCGCCUGUGACGAAGCGUGAGUGACGGUAAUGGGUAAAGAAGCACCGGCUAACUACGUG